Molecule: ribosomal RNA, 433 nt
Filed under: uncultured bacterium
Lineage: Bacteria
Description: partial 16S ribosomal RNA
Rfam family: Bacterial small subunit ribosomal RNA
Source: RNAcentral
AACGAACGCUGGCGGCAUGCCUAACACAUGCAAGUCGAACGAGACCUUCGGGUCUAGUGGCGCACGGGUGCGUAACGCGUGGGAACCUGCCCUUAGGUUCGGAAUAACUCCCCGAAAGGGGUGCUAAUACCGGAUAAUGUCUUCGGACCAAAGAUUUAUCGCCUUUGGAUGGGCCCGCGUUGGAUUAGCUAGUUGGUAGGGUAAAAGCCUACCAAGGCGACGAUCCAUAGCUGGUCUGAGAGGAUGAUCAGCCACACUGGGACUGAGACACGGUCCAGACUCCUACGGGAGGCAGCAGUGGGGAAUAUUGGACAGUGGGCGAAAGCCUGAUCCAGCAAUGCCGCGUGAGUGAUGAAGGCCUUAGGGUUGUAAAGCUCUUUUACCCGGGAUGAUAAUGACAGUACCGGGAGAAUAAGCUCCGGCUAACUCCGUG